UUAUCUUCUCUAUGGUUGGCAAUGGUAGUUCCAAUGCGCACGCAGAAACGUCAGCGUCAGUCAUUUCGGCGCAGGUCUCCGCCAUCUUGUCAAAGCACCUUGUUCAGCGUUCCGUGGACACAUGAUGUGGGUAUUUAAUAGUGGAAAAUCUUCUUUCUCUAUGUGGAAAUUCAUCUUUAUCGCUGGUCGGACGCGUGCCAUGCUUCAUCCCUCCGGUGAGUACCUAAUUUAACUGUGUUUGGCGGGUGUUUGAAUUCCAUCGUGGUUUUGUAGGUUACCCAGGAAUCGUGGGAGCUGCAACAGGUGGAAAGCCUCCAACAGAUCGACGUGGGGGCUCAAUGGACCGGUUCACCCCUUUCGACCUGGCCAUACGGAUGUUGGGACUCUCGGAGCCGGCAGGAGACUUGCAGGUGGCCUUGGUAUCUUGGACAGGCACGGAGGGCUAAUUCCCUACUGGUUUUACCUGCUGAUUCUUGGUGACAGAUUGUCCGGAUGCACUAGUGGUAUCACACUGUACGGCAGCCUCUCUAUGACGGUGAUGAGAAUGACAAGGACAGUUUCUAGUCAGUGUACCUAGCAGUUAUUCAGAUCAACAGGUCAUAGACGACAGGUGAAACGACUUUAACAACGGUGAACGGACCGGAAAACUUCGGAGCC
Long non-coding RNA from Coccinella septempunctata (seven-spotted ladybird), 657 nucleotides. RefSeq lists it as uncharacterized. The transcript is spliced from 3 exons. The record is from RefSeq and is a predicted model, not a curated record. NCBI's taxonomy places the organism in Eukaryota, Metazoa, Arthropoda, Insecta, Coleoptera, Coccinellidae.